AAUCCACGCCUGGCUCCGGGAGUGCUAACUGCCCAGGAGAUUGAUAUCUAGGGUGCAAAGGCUAAAAAAAUUAGAUUAAUUUAGCUCAGCUGUGCUCACUGAAGGAUUGGGUUGCAGCUGGUGCUGAAACAUUAGCGAUCAGGCCUCCGAGAUCGGGGGCAAGUCUCAAGUUGGAAGGAAGGGAGUAAGAUGGAUUGCCUCUCAGCAUGCCCGCUCCCCAGGAAAAUGAUAGCCUACCAAAGCAGCCCCAGCAUUACAGACAAUGCAGUGGAACACCAGUAAGAAAAUUUCCUAGAACAUGAAGUCCCAGGAUUGGAAGCAUAUAUAACUAAGUAACCAAUCUGAUGCUUAAAUUCCUUACUGCCAAUUAAUUGGAGAUAAUUUUCCAAAUUCUUGGUAAAAUUUAUAUUUUUUGGAAGACACAUACUUGGAGGCAUUCACAGGAAAUAUAUGCAUAAGAUGGCCAAGAGCCCUCCAGACCAAAAUAAUGUUAUCAAAGAUGUCCAAGGAUCUGCAAAUAAGAGGCAAGAUUCCUCAGACAGGUGCACUGUCCUGUUUCUCUUGACCCACUUCUGCACCCCAUCAUGAGGCUGCACCAGCGUGAAAAAUCUCCUUUCAAGAAACAGACUUCGCUAUUAGUUCUCAAUGCACCAAAAAGUCAGCAGUGGUAGCUCCGCCUCCUCUCCUCCCCCAAAAGAAAUCUUCCUCGACUUACAAUGGAGUUACAUCCUGAUUUGCCCAUCAUACGUUGAAAAUAUCAAAUCACCAAGAAUAAGAGGAUUCAGUCAAAAUUUCUGAGACAAUCUCCUCUGGCUGAGCAAGAGGUGGUCCAAAAGCUUCUGCUUCUUUUGAGUUGCACUUAUGGUGUUGCUUUUUCUCACAGUCGACAGUGGAAGCAACAACGGGUAGGUGUGCUCCAGGAUGUGUGGUUUCAGUGGAUGCUCCUAAUGCAAGCAAAGAAGGGACUGUAAAUAAAGCAGACGUGCAGAUGCUACUACUGUGAGAAGCGCUGGGUCUUUUCCCUAAUGCUCAGUGAAUCCCCAUGACUCCAGGACACUCUUGACUUCCAGCCAAUACAUCACAGUCUUCCCCUGCAAUGGCUACAGAGAGAGGUUAAAAAAAAUAGCCCACAAGAGUGCUCUUUCCUUCUCUCUCUGCUCCUUCAGCUCCAAGAAUAGACUCAUUGACGAAGUGUGUCUCUGUGUGUCUGUCUGUUACCCCAUGAUGCAUGCUGCUUCUUAUCCUGUUCUUGGGCCUUUCCUAGAAACGACCUCAGGCAGAGAACUGAAAAUUAAGCAGAAGGAGAAGGGACUAAAGCUACUUCCCAAGAAUAGUUUCAACAAUAAUUACGGCAGUGACGAACGUGCUGUCUGGGGAAAUGUUUGGGAACCUUCAACCCCUUGCGCACAGGCACACAGUUAGUGAGGGGCGUGCAGCCCAUUCACGGGCUGUCUGAUUCUGACAGCUGAGUUCUUACACAGGGCAUCAUCCUAAGCUCAAAAAUGUCAGUUGGAAAGGAAGAAAUCAGCAUAGCGUUAUGUGCAGAGCGAGUGCCUAUAUCGAUGAGAAUCGGAAAGAGAGCCUCUCCAUGCUUCUCCACCUGCUCCGUGUCCAGGACACUGACCUGUCUCACCUGCUGCAACUCCUAUCUCUUUCUGCACCUGAUGCUCUCCAUCAGGGUUCCAGUAACUCUCCUGUGUCCCUUCAGGCUGGGGUGGAAAUGCUCCCCACCCUGCAUGGCUGCUAUGGCUUCCCUGCGUGCUGCCCACACCUUGAACAUCAUUUCUUCAUUAAACUCUCCUAUGUUACCCAUUUUAAGGCUUCCACCUGUUUCUUGCCAAUACCCUGACUGAUUCACACUUACAAUAUUACAUUACAAAUAGAAAAUCUACAUUGCACCUACAUUCUGACUGUCAAGAAUUUCUAUACCCCGCAAAUACUAUAAAGGUCCUCCCUCCCUCCAUAAAACUUCCCCUCCCACUCUGUCCUUUCUCCAGCAGAUGCCACACACUCCACACUUCACACUCACAGCUUUGUUUUCUGCUCUUCCUUCUGUGGCUCUCGAUCCAUAUGGUGAUGCCCCUAACCCUCCGUCUCCCACCUCACUCCCACCGUUAU
Equus caballus (horse) is the source of this 2118-nucleotide long non-coding RNA. NCBI's taxonomy places the organism in Eukaryota, Metazoa, Chordata, Mammalia, Perissodactyla, Equidae. The record is from Ensembl.